AAUAAUGGGGAAAAACGCACAAUGGGCGCAAGCCUGAUGCAGCAAUGCCGCGUGAGGGAUGACGGCCUUCGGGUUGUAAACCUCUUUUAGCAGGGAAGAAACGAAAGUGACGGUACCUGCAAAAAAAGCGCCGGCUAACUACGUGCCAGCAGCCGCGGUAAUA
Molecule: ribosomal RNA, 163 nt
Filed under: uncultured Microbacterium sp.
Lineage: Bacteria; Bacillati; Actinomycetota; Actinomycetes; Micrococcales; Microbacteriaceae
Description: partial 16S ribosomal RNA
Rfam family: Bacterial small subunit ribosomal RNA
Source: RNAcentral